RNAcentral lists this long non-coding RNA (368 nucleotides) under Pan troglodytes (chimpanzee). RNAcentral's name for it is "long non-coding RNA NONPTRT005736". Lineage: Eukaryota; Metazoa; Chordata; Mammalia; Primates; Hominidae. The record is from RNAcentral.
UCUCACUUCUGGAGGACUCAGCAUUCAAGGUGCCAUCUUGGAAGCAGACAGCAGCCCUCACUAGACUACAAACAUGCUGGCGCUUUGAUCUUGGACUUCCCACCCACCAGAACUCUCUCCACUCCCUUCCUAGACUUUCUUCAUAGAACCAGAAGAGGGUACCUGAAUUGGCCUGGACUGCUCAGCCUGUACGGUUCUGGGAGUGGGGUGGGGUGGAUGGAGUGAACUCAGCAGGCACCCCCAGCUCUGCUCUCCUGUGGUUGUGACUGGAUCUCCAGGAGGGACUUCGACUUUUCCAGGUCUUAGCACUGAAGAUGCUUUGGUGCUUCUGCACAGGGGAGAAAAUUCAAAAUAACAAAACCAUAAAC